This 460-nucleotide ribosomal RNA is filed under the name uncultured bacterium. RNAcentral's name for it is "partial 16S ribosomal RNA". It matches the Rfam family "Bacterial small subunit ribosomal RNA", at positions 338 to 795 of the family's 1533-position model. The record is from RNAcentral.
CCUACGGGCGGCAGCAGUGAGGAAUAUUGGUCAAUGGACGAGAGUCUGAACCAGCCAAGUAGCGUGAAGGAUGACUGCCCUAUGGGUUGUAAACUUCUUUUAUAUGGGAAUAAAAUGUUCCACGUGUGGGAGUUUGUAUGUACCAUAUGAAUAAGGAUCGGCUAACCCCGUGCCAGCAGCCGCGGUAAUACGGAGGAUCCGAGCGUUAUCCGGAUUUUUUGGGUUUAAGGGGAGCGUAGGUGGGAUGUUAAGUCAGUGGUGAAAGUUUGCGGCUCAACGGUAAAAUUGCAGUUGAAACUGGCAGUCUUGAGUACGGUAGAGGUGGGAGGAAUUCGUGGUGUAGCGGUGAAAUGCAUAGAUAUCACGAAGAACUCCGAUUGCGAAGGCAGCUCACUGGACUGCGACUGACACUGAGGCUCGAAAGUGUGGGUAUCAAACAGGAUUAGAUACCCCAGUAGUC